Molecule: unclassified non-coding RNA, 305 nt
Filed under: plant metagenome
Description: partial contains 5.8S ribosomal RNA, internal transcribed spacer 2, and large subunit ribosomal RNA
Rfam family: 5.8S ribosomal RNA (bases 1-105)
Source: RNAcentral
GAAAUGCGAUAAGUAAUGUGAAUUGCAGAAUUCAGUGAAUCAUCGAAUCUUUGAACGCACAUUGCGCCCGCCAGUAUUCUGGCGGGCAUGCCUGUUCGAGCGUCAUUUCAACCAUCAAGCCCCCGGCUUGUGUUGGGGACCUGCGGCUGCCCGCAGGCCCUGAAAAACAGUGGCGGGCUCGCUGUCACACCGAGCGUAGUAGCAUACAUUCUCGCUCAGGGCGUGCUGCGGGUUCCGGCCGUUAAACGACCUUCAUAACCCAAGGUUGACCUCGGAUCAGGUAGGAAGACCCGCUGAGCUUAAGC